This 380-nucleotide ribosomal RNA is filed under the name uncultured cyanobacterium. RNAcentral describes it as "bacterial SSU rRNA". It matches the Rfam family "Bacterial small subunit ribosomal RNA", at positions 376 to 770 of the family's 1533-position model. The record is from RNAcentral. Lineage: Bacteria; Bacillati; Cyanobacteriota.
CGAAAGCCUGACGGAGCAAUACCGCGUGAGGGAUGAAGGCCUUUGGGUUGUAAACCUCUUUUAUCAAGGAGGAAGUUCUGACGUGUACUUGAUGAAUAAGCAUCGGCUAACUCCGUGCCAGCAGCCGCGGUAAGACGGAGGAUGCAAGUGUUAUCCGGAAUCACUGGGCGUAAAGCGUCUGUAGGUGGUUUAAAAAGUCCACUGUUAAAAAUUGAAGCUUAACUUCAAAGAUGCCGUGGAAACUUUUAAACUUGAGUAUGAUAGGGGUAGAGGGAAUUUCCAGUGGAGCGGUGAAAUGCGUAGAUAUUGGAAAGACCACCAAUGGCGAAGGCACUCUACUGGGCCAUUACUGACACUGAGAGACGAAAGCUAGGGUAGCG